CCACUGUUUUACCAAGAAGUAAUGUGAAUAACGGUUGAGCAAUUGAAAAUCUCUUGUAAGGUUACAAUUAUAUAUGUAUGUUUUAUGUACUAAAACGGACUUUGGACUUUGCGUUUUUCACCUAGUGAGGAUUUACCAAAAAAUGAACUUAAAUUUUCUGAACUAAGUAACAAACGUCAUUAAGAUAACUUUUAUGACAAAAAAGUUUAGUUUCGGCAAUUCCAAUCGAAGGCUUAUAUUCAAACGACCUACAUAUCUGCACUUAAUACAAAAACUACUUUCUGAUGUUAGAACCCAUCUGAGACUUAAGUAACUGUCGUAAGUAGCUGCAAUUUUAAUUUUGAAAUUCAAUAGUUAAUUCUUCUGACUAGGUCAGGAUUUUUAUAUAGGAAUGUUAUUUUUGGAAAAAAUGUAGAUUGAUCAUAUUGAACAUAAGCCCUCGAUUUACUACAUAAAUACACAUCGAUACCUUAAUAUAGAAAGGCCCUAGCUCAUAUAGUCGUUGAAAUCCAAAAAACCCGUAACUAACUAAAAUUUUUGUUAUUGCUUAAAACGAUAUGGGGACUUAUAAUUCGAUGAUUUGUAUGAUAAUCAAUCAAAAAGUGAAUUUUGAAUUUCUAGAUAGUUACGGCUUUUUAUAUUCCUGCGAAAUAGGACCUUUCUAUAUUGCGGUAACCAUAAGAUCGUAUGUAAGUAUGUAUGUUUUCUGUUGUUGAUUUUUGACGAUAUUUAUAAACUACUUAUCAUUAGUGUUUAUUUUAUUUUACAUUAUUUUAUUUAAAUUUUUGUUUUUGAAGUUAGGUUUUUUAGCGGGGGUAGUGAACAAAAUUAUCGCCACGCAAAUUGUGACACUUGCAAUGUAACGGAAGUGCAUACAUUUUUCCUUUUCUUCUGCUUAAGGUUUAACGACAAAGACUUAGCCUAAGACAAAGACGAAGACACAUCGUCGCUACCACAUCGAACUAUCGAAUGUGCAAAAAUGCUUUUUCAUUUACGAUACGUUUCGCGUUUACGUAAUUUGGAAAAUCGUCGAAUUUCUAGUCUGCUUAGAAGCAGAGGAUACAAAGUGUCGAAUCCCACACUUUUUCCUAAUGUCAACAACAUUUUUUACGACUGUUUCUUUGCUCCCUUGAAAAGUACCGAUUUUCAUAUUCGAUAGUUUGGCAUGGUAGCGACGACAUGUUUUAAACGAAGACGAAUACAAAUACGAAGACGGAUCAUCAGUAACGGACGGUGUCGUCAGUAACUUAACCUUACUUUUUCGAGACGUCUAGUCCUGCAAUAUAGUAGAAAAUGUAGUGGUAGAAAAUGUACCAAUUCUGUCCGACUUUUCCUCCAUUAGUGCAUACUAUUUCAAAACAAGUUUAGGAAACUAUAUAAAUAGUUAGGAGUUUUCAAGUAUGAAUAUAUGUUUGUAUCGUGCUCCAAAGGGCUGGACCAUUUAUUAAAACUAAUAAAUAA
Molecule: long non-coding RNA, 1461 nt
Organism: Rhagoletis zephyria (snowberry fruit fly)
Lineage: Eukaryota; Metazoa; Arthropoda; Insecta; Diptera; Tephritidae
Source: RefSeq, a predicted model, not a curated record